AGGUUAAGUGAAUAAGGGCGCACGGUGGAUGCCUUGGCACUAGGAGCCGAUGAAGGACGGGACUAACACCGAUAUGCUUUGGGGAGCUGUAAGUAAGCUAUGAUCCAGAGAUUUCCGAAUGGGGGAACCCAGCAUCUUUUAUAGGAUGUUACGUCUGCGUGAAUACAUAGCGCAGUCGAGGUAGACGCAGAGAACUGAAACAUCUAAGUACCUGCAGGAAGAGAAAGAAAAUUCGAUUCCCUGAGUAGCGGCGAGCGAAACGGGAAAAGCCCAAACCAACAAGCUUGCUUGUUGGGGUUGUAGGACUCCGAUAUGGUAGUCUAUUCAGAUAGUCGAAAUACUUGGAAAAGUAUGUCAAAGAGGGUAAAAACCCCGUAGGCGAAAUUUGGAUAACACCUAGGAGGAUCCUGAGUACGGCGGAACACGAGGAAUUCCGUCGGAAUCCGGGAGGACCAUCUCCCAAGGCUAAAUACUCCCUAGUGACCGAUAGUGAACCAGUACCGUGAGGGAAAGGUGAAAAGCACCCCGGAAGGGGAGUGAAAUAGAUCCUGAAACCGUGUGCCUACAACAAGUUAGAGCCCGUUAAUGGGUGAUAGCGUGCCUUUUGUAGAAUGAACCGGCGAGUUACGAUAGCAUGCGAGGUUAAGUUGAAGAGACGGAGCCGCAGCGAAAGCGAGUCUGAAUAGGGCGAAUGAGUAUGUUGUCGUAGACCCGAAACCAUGUGAUCUACCCAUGUCCAGGUUGAAGGUGCGGUAAAACGCACUGGAGGACCGAACCCACGUACGUUGAAAAGUGCGGGGAUGAGGUGUGGGUAGCGGAGAAAUUCCAAACGAACUUGGAGAUAGCUGGUUCUCUCCGAAAUAGCUUUAGGGCUAGCCUCGGAAUUGAGAAUGAUGGAGGUAGAGCACUGUUUGGACUAGGGGCCCAUCUCGGGUUACCGAAUUCAGAUAAACUCCGAAUGCCAUUCAUUCAUAUCCGGGAGUCAGACUGUGAGUGAUAAGAUCCAUAGUCGAAAGGGAAACAGCCCAGACCACCAGCUAAGGUCCCCAAAUAACUAUUAAGUGGAAAAGGAUGUGGGGUUGCACAGACAACUAGGAUGUUGGCUUAGAAGCAGCCACCAUUUAAAGAGUGCGUAAUAGCUCACUAGUCGAGUGACCCUGCGCCGAAAAUGUACCGGGGCUAAAUAGUUUACCGAAGCUGUGGAGUGCACCAUCAGGUGCAUUGGUAGGAGAGCGUUCUAAGGGCGUUGAAGGCAGAUCGUGAGGACUGCUGGAGCGCUUAGAAGUGAGAAUGCCGGUAUGAGUAGCGAAAGACAGGUGAGAAUCCUGUCCACCGAAUGACUAAGGUUUCCUGGGGAAGGCUCGUCCGCCCAGGGUUAGUCGGGACCUAAGCCGAGGCCGACAGGCGUAGGCGAUGGACAACAGGUUGAUAUUCCUGUACCCGUUGUUUUUGUUUGAGCAAUGGAGGGACGCAGGAGGCUAAGAAGUGCAGACUGAUGGAUAUGUCUGUUCAAGCAGUAAGUCUUGGUAGGAGUCAAAUGCUUCUACCUAUACGGACAAGCUGUGAUGAGGAGGGAAAUAAUAGUACCGAAGCUUCUGAUGUCACACUGCCAAGAAAAGCUUCUAGUGAGAAAACAACGGCCCGUACCGCAAACCGACACAGGUAGUCGAGGAGAGAAUCCUAAGGUGAGCGAGAGAACUCUCGUUAAGGAACUCGGCAAAAUGACCCCGUAACUUCGGGAGAAGGGGUGCUGCUCUAACGAGCAGCCGCAGUGAAUAGGCCCAAGCGACUGUUUAUCAAAAACACAGGUCUCUGCAAAAUCGAAAGAUGACGUAUAGGGGCUGACGCCUGCCCGGUGCUGGAAGGUUAAGAGGAGUGCUUAGCGUAAGCGAAGGUACGAAUUGAAGCCCCAGUAAACGGCGGCCGUAACUAUAACGGUCCUAAGGUAGCGAAAUUCCUUGUCGGGUAAGUUCCGACCCGCACGAAAGGCGUAACGAUUUGGGCACUGUCUCAACGAGAGACUCGGUGAAAUUUUAGUACCUGUGAAGAUGCAGGUUACCCGCGACAGGACGGAAAGACCCCAUGGAGCUUUACUGUAGUUUGAUAUUGAGUGUCUGUACCGCAUGUACAGGAUAGGUAGGAGCCGUAGAGAUCGGGACGCCAGUUUCGAUGGAGGCAAUGGUGGGAUACUACCCUUGCGUUAUGGCCACU
This 2211-nucleotide ribosomal RNA is filed under the name Listeria monocytogenes. RNAcentral describes it as "partial 23S ribosomal RNA". It matches the Rfam family "Bacterial large subunit ribosomal RNA", at positions 1 to 2221 of the family's 2925-position model. The record is from RNAcentral. Lineage: Bacteria; Bacillati; Bacillota; Bacilli; Caryophanales; Listeriaceae.